UAAUAAAUUUAACUUUUAUAGAGUGACUAAUGCCCUGUGGAGAUAAGGCAGACUCUCAGUCACCUGUGUUUAAUCCAGGCCGAAGAAAUUAUGCCAAGAGCACACUGACAAAACUUUAUUUCUUUGGAGAAGAUGGCAGUAACUUGGUAGGGAGCAGGAAGGGUCUUAGUUUUAAAAGUCUUGUUGGAAUGACUCUCAUUCUCACUGUGAACCCGUUUAGCAUUUAUGUACUUUGGAAGGACAAAGAGGUGAGGUAAGCCUGCCAAAAUUUGAAUCUGUGUUUCUGGGAACCUGUUAGUAGGUCAACUGUUACAAAUGUAAGAGGAACUGCAAAGGAGCGGUAAAUACUAGAAAUUUGGGAGUUGGCCUGCAAACAGCUUUAUUAAAGCUUGCACUGUUUCUUCUUCUAGAUCUCAGGUUAAGAAGUGAAAAGUGCCUCUGUUGAGUUGUUCAAGAAUGUACAACACUGAAGGAAGAAAGAAGAUACACUUCAGCUGUAACUAUAAUCAAUAUUGUUAUAGAAACUUUUUUUCCUUAAAUGUAACUGAUCAAGAAUAAAGCUAAUCUAUGGACAACGUUUGUGAUUUCACCAUCAGACAAAGUUACACUGAAACAAGCAAAGGAUUCUUCACUGUGUAAAUUUACCCAGGGCCAAAUAUGCACAAGUGCAAAUCCCUGACCCAGUAGGAAUAAAUAACCAAUUACGGAA
Molecule: non-coding RNA, 709 nt
Organism: Callithrix jacchus (white-tufted-ear marmoset)
Lineage: Eukaryota; Metazoa; Chordata; Mammalia; Primates; Cebidae
Source: RefSeq, a predicted model, not a curated record